Molecule: ribosomal RNA, 438 nt
Filed under: uncultured bacterium
Lineage: Bacteria
Description: bacterial SSU rRNA
Rfam family: Bacterial small subunit ribosomal RNA
Source: RNAcentral
UUUAGAUCAUGGCUCAAAUUGAACGCUGGCGGAAUGCUUCCCUCUUGCAAGUCGAACGGCAGCACGGACUUCGGUCUGGGGGCGAGGGGCGAACGGGUGAGUAAUAUAUCGAAACGUGCCCAGUCGGGGGGAAUAACGUAGGGAAAAUUACGCUAAUACCGCAUACAAUCUAUGGAUGAAAGCGGGGGAUCGCAAGACCUCGCGCGAUUGGAGCGGCCGAUAUCAAAUUAGGUAGUUGGUGAGGUAAAGGCUCACCAAGCCGACAAUCUGUAGUUGGUCUGAGAGGACAACCAGCCACACUGGAACUGAGACACGGUCCAAACUCCUACGGGAGCCACCAGUGGGAAAUUUUGGACAAUGGACGCAAGUCUGAUCCAGCCUUUCCGCGUGCAGGACGAAGGCCUUCGGGUUGUAAACUGCUUUUGUACAGAACGAAAA